UUUUUGGGGGGGGGGUGGGGGGUUGUAUGUGUGUUAGUGAGCACUUGCUUGUUGUGUGUGUACUUCAUCUGUAUAUUUGUGUCGCUUGUAAGCAUGUAUCACCAUUGUAGGACUAUGGUGUGGGGCGUGGUGGGACUUAAUGCAUUAUUGAUUUACUGAAACGUUUUGCACAUGUCGCCCCUCUGGUUCGCCUCACUACUUUCCCUGCUCCACACCAGCAUGCCUGCGCCCACCCGCCGGGGACACAGGCAGGCUUUAAAUAUUUCAUAAGCCGGUUUUCAUUAAUAUAAUGGGAAUUAUCCAAGUCACUAAAUCUAAUUAUCAAGUGUGAAGUUCACUCACCCAUCCCUUUCCCUCAACCUUACCUUAGCCCAAACACAGAAAAAUGUAGGCUCAACCUAAUCCUCCACUCUCCACGUCUACCGUCGCUCUUUAUUUUCUCAAUACCUUUUGAUGUCCUUCUAGUCCUCCCUCUCUAUUUUCAUCCUCUCCUAGUUUCUUCUUGUGCAUAUAUUAUAAAGACAUUUUGUGAUAUUUUGGUUAGUUUUGGUCUUCGUUAAGGGUUUUGUUAAUCUGUUCGUGCACACAAUGUUUUGACGAAGCAAGCCGAAGUUUGAUAGCCGAAGUCUACACCCCUUCGUUGGCGAUUGGUCAACUGUAGGGGUGGCGCGAGUUUUUUCUCGAUUUAGUCCGAAAACUCAGUGUGAUUCAACAUGGCGAACGACAACUUCAAGCGUUUCUUAGCCAAGGAGGGACAGAAGUAAGCAAGACGGAAAGCAACAUGCCAACUUCACCAGAGAAUGAGGCACAAACACCAGUGAAUGGGGACAGCACCAGGUUUUGUUCUCUGCUCCCCAGCACUGACUGGUCAUUAACCCCCAGCCCAUCUCCCGCACUGAGCUGCAGUGCAGAAUGGAAAACCAUCUCUAUGAAGGACCUGGGAAACCCUAUCCUGAGCCCACCUCCAAUACCUACUCCACUGGCUUGCUCCUCACCAAUGCCACAGAGCAGCAGCAGUAGUAGCAGGAAUGUGAGAAGAAGGGAGAAAAGAGCUGCAGACUCAGACACAUCACUCGUAAAGGCGUUGCAAAGACCGAUCUCAAGAUCUGGAGAACGUCAUGCAUUGAACCACCCAGAGGGCCCUGGCACCUAUAGCUGAUUUCAUGGAUGAACUAUUGGCAAAACUCUGGUUGGAAUUCGAUCACCAGCUGCAUGAAUUUGUGCAUGACUUCAAGAAGACAUGGACCGAACGACUGGGACCACAGUGAAAUGAACAACUUGUUGUUCAGACAUCUCAGGAGUCAGACUCUAGACAAUUUUAUUCCAUAGACACUUGUCUUGUUGUUUGCACUUGUUGUUUGCGUGUCUGUUUUUCACAGACACAUUUGUACUAUUCUUCAAAUAAUUCCAUUUGUCUGACACUUUAAUGAUAUUUCAAUGAUGUGUUGUUUACAUGUCUGUUCUUAGCAGGCACUGUUGUAUUGUGGUUUACUUUCAGAGCCCAGAUGCAAGAAUAAGGUUUAUUUUUUUGUGUGCUGAAAAAGCUCUGUUUCUUCAUCUCGAUACAAGGUGUUUCAAUGCAUUCUAUUUGAUAAUCAAGUACUGACAAUGUUGAGAAGAGCUAUGUGCUGCAGACCUUACAGGCUCUUUUGUGUGGUGUAGUUCAAUCUAAAUUAACGCACACAGACAUCAUAAAAAUGUGGUUAAAAAAUUAAUUAACAAGAUUAAAACUACAUUUUAGUACGAAAUACUUUGGUUCACAGUGCACACAAAGAAUGUGUGCCUCCAAGGGGUGUGUGUGAGAGCAGGUCAAACAAAGUCCUAUUCUGCAUGAUUGGCUGGUCAUGGGUUGAGUUGUCCUCUCCUAACCAUGUCUUUUUGCACACAUGCGGAGGGGAGAAGACAUCCCUGAGCUUGUUUCUUGUUUCGCUUGCAAGCUGUGUCGCCCUGGCACGGGAGAGUCUGCCUGGCUCUUGAGGAUUGUUGUCCCCUGGCCACAACCCACUUCCACUCUCCAGGUUGGUAGUUGCCAGAAGGGAGGGGAGUGUCCCCAAAAGCGGGAGACACUUAUCUUGCGUUUCGGUUCAUGAGUUUCAUCUGUGGAGGACAGGUAGUUGUGGAAGGCUAGACAAGCCUUCAGACUGUCUUUAGCCUUUUCAGGGGUACACUCGAUUAGCCGAACAAGAGUCCUCAUCCUUGCAGCCAUGAUGCCGAAUGCAUUCUCUAUGACAACAAGAGUGGCGGUAGUUGUAGGUACGCCCAGGAUAAUUGAGAUGGACACCUGUGAAUGAGAGAUAAUAAGAAUAUAUGUUAGAUAUAAAAUAUAGCCUAUUUGGUUAAAAAAAAAGAAAAAAAAAUCCAGAACCAUAUUCCAAAAGCCUUAAUAAAAUGGCAUUUCUCAUACAGAUAUGCAUACAUCUAUACAGUAACAAGGGAAAUUAGAAACAGAAAAAUUGAUUCCAACAUUCUAUUAUCAACAUAUCUGGAUAAGGGUGACUCAGUUUCUCAUGUAGGGAGAGAGCUGCAUCUCCCAGAAAAACAUGGACUUGGUGUUGUGGUGCCUAGUAGGACAGCUGGUGGUGGUAAAUCAAGAGUCUUCUGCAGCAGUUUGGACCCAAAAUAACUAUCUUGAAACACUCAACCCUUGCUCUCUUGGCCGUAUGUCCCUACAUCCGUUUCUGUAUCUUUCCUAUUAUAUGUCUUGCUAGGUAAAACAAAUCUAGUAGAUCCUGGGCAAGAGGAGACGGUGAGGUAAUGGAGGUAAAGGGGAUGGGUGAGGGUGAAGAGGGGUUAGGCAGAGGGUGAAGUGGGAUGAGGUAGAGGAGGAGGAUGGGUGAGGGGUGAGGAAGAAGGGGAUGGGUGAGGUAGAGGUCAAUGGUUAAGAGUGGUGAGAUAGAUGAGGAUGGGUGAAGAGAGGUGCGGUAGAGGAGGAGGCAGUGAAGAGGGGUAAAGCCGGGUCCUCUGUGCCUUAAAGCCCCUGGUAACCGGCUUAGCAACAAACAGCUGUGCAUUUAAUUAGGCCUGUCUGGUACCACAAACACACACACACACAGUUUACCAUUUGAAAAAUACGUACUCAUCAAGGUUUUAUUUUUUUGGUGGGGGUAGAUCAGAUUGAAUAUUGCAGAUUGAUGGAAGCCACAAUGUAAUUAUCUGCAUAAUUUCCAAUCCCCCAAAAAUAUAUUUUUGUAAAUAAACAGUACCAGUCAGAAUUUUGGACACAUCUACUCAUUCAAGGGUUUUUC
Long non-coding RNA from Oncorhynchus mykiss (rainbow trout), 3245 nucleotides. RefSeq lists it as uncharacterized. NCBI's taxonomy places the organism in Eukaryota, Metazoa, Chordata, Actinopteri, Salmoniformes, Salmonidae. The record is from RefSeq and is a predicted model, not a curated record.